AGAAGCUCUCCUGCACCCUCAACCUGCUGGCCACGCCCAGGGCCCAGCUCAUCCAGAUGAGCUGGACAGCCCUGCGGGCUGCGUUCCCCGCCCUGAGCCCAGCACAGCUGCACCAGCUGCUGACUCACUACCAGCUGGCCUCGGCCAUGGGCCCCAUGAGCGCCUGGGAGCCAGGGGCCCAGGACAGCCCCGAGGCCUUCAGGUCAGGUAAGCCCUGCCCCAGGGCAGGAGAGGGCUGGUGACUCAGUGGGAGACUCGCCCCGAGGCUGGAGGCAGCAUGCUCUCAUCCCAACUGAAGUGGAGUGUGGGGGACCUCUCUCCUGGGGACCUCCCUGGAGGAGCCUCCACCCAGAGGACCCCCCCGCCCCAUCCCCAACCUGGGGAUCCGGGGACCUCCUCAGCGGGGGAGUCAAGGAGCCGAGAGUCCAAGCCGAAGUUCCAAACUCCAGGCUCAGGUCCAAGGCCCCCUCGUUCCCUCACGGAGCCGGAGGAUGGGGCCUCCCCUGUUGUAUGGCUACCCAGG
This 523-nucleotide small RNA is filed under the name Pan troglodytes (chimpanzee). RNAcentral describes it as "retained intron". The record is from RNAcentral. Lineage: Eukaryota; Metazoa; Chordata; Mammalia; Primates; Hominidae.